CCUACGGGUGGCAGCAGUGGGGAAUAUUGGGCAAUGGGCGCAAGCCUGACCCAGCAAUGCCGCGUGAAGGAAGAAGGCUUUCGGGUUGUAAACUUCUUUGACAGGGGAUGAACACAAUGACGGUACCCCAAUAGCAAGCCACGGCUAACUACGUGCCAGCAGCCGCGGUAAUACGUAGGUGGCAAGCGUUAUCCGGAAUGACUGGGCGUAAAGGGUGCGUAGGUGGGUUAGUAAGUUGGCGGUGUAAUUCCGGGGCUCAACCUCGGCGCUACCGCCAAAACUAUUAGACUAGAGUGCAGGAGGGGUAAGGGGAAUUCCUAGUGUAGCGGUGGAAUGCGUAGAUAUUAGGAGGAACAUCAGGGGCGAAGGCGACUUACUGGACUGUAACUGACACUGAGGCACGAAAGCGUGGGGAGCAAACAGGAUUAGAUACCCCAGUAGUC
This 443-nucleotide ribosomal RNA is filed under the name uncultured bacterium. RNAcentral's name for it is "partial 16S ribosomal RNA". It matches the Rfam family "Bacterial small subunit ribosomal RNA", at positions 338 to 795 of the family's 1533-position model. The record is from RNAcentral.